AGAUUGAAAUUGAAAACAAAAUUGAAUCAAUCGGUAUUUCGGUGUGGAUACUAGUAAAGUUUAACUUUUACUGGUCUACACGGAGAUUUACAAUAUAAGGUAAAAUGCUUUGGCCGUAAAUCUUUUGUAUUGAAGACUUGAAAUGCUUGUCAGGUGAGUCAUAUAUAUAAUAAAUACUAUUAGUUUAAUUUCAGGGACCAAUUAUGAAUAAAACUUAUGAACUAAGUGAAACUAAGUAACUCAGUUUUAUAGUUGAAAUGUUUAAUGUUUUAAUACUGUUAUAGAAGUGAAUUAAAGAUAUAAAUUGUAACAGUUAGAGUUGUAAUUACGAGUUAUAAAAUAAGAUAUUUAAAAAAAAAUACGUACUAUAUUUUUCAAAUGAAAAAUAUCAUGAUUGAUUACAUUUUUUCAACUGAGAAACCUUAUCGUUUA
This is a long non-coding RNA of Acyrthosiphon pisum (pea aphid), 432 nucleotides long. RefSeq lists it as uncharacterized. NCBI's taxonomy places the organism in Eukaryota, Metazoa, Arthropoda, Insecta, Hemiptera, Aphididae. The record is from RefSeq and is a predicted model, not a curated record. The transcript is spliced from 3 exons.